This 464-nucleotide ribosomal RNA is filed under the name uncultured bacterium. RNAcentral's name for it is "partial 16S ribosomal RNA". It matches the Rfam family "Bacterial small subunit ribosomal RNA", at positions 28 to 507 of the family's 1533-position model. The record is from RNAcentral.
GACGAACGCUGGCGGCGUGCUUAACACAUGCAAGUCGAACGGAAAGGCCCUGCUUGCAGGGUACUCGAGUGGCGAACGGGUGAGUAACACGUGGGUGAUCUGCCCUGCACUUCGGGAUAAGCCUGGGAAACUGGGUCUAAUACCGGAUAGGAGCCAUUUUUAGUGUGAUGGUUGGAAAGUUUUUUCGGUGUAGGAUGAGCUCGCGGCCUAUCAGCUUGUUGGUGGGGUAAUGGCCUACCAAGGCGGCGACGGGUAGCCGGCCUGAGAGGGUGGACGGCCACAUUGGGACUGAGAUACGGCCCAGACUCCUACGGGAGGCAGCAGUGGGGUAUAUUGCACAAUGGGCGCAAGCCUGAUGCAGCGACGCCGCGUGGGGGAUGACGGCCUUCGGGUUGUAAACUCCUUUCGCUAGGGACGAAGCUUUUGUGACGGUACCUAGAUAAGAAGCACCGGCUAACUACGUG